GGCAGGUUUCCUUGGGGCUGAGUACAAAUACACCCUGGCAAUGAGCAGUAGGUGGUGUUGCACCGACAUGUCAGAGAAAAGCCUGUUUGUGCCAAACGCAUCGGAGAAACUGUUUUGGAAUGGUUCAUUGGUGUGAAGACAGGGCCCCAAAAUAGUGUCGGGAGAAGAGGAACUGUAGCAACAUGCUGGGGAUGUGCCAGCUGUCUGCAUUAGACAGAAGGGUGGUAGAUUAGGAAGGAACAUGGGUGCAUUUAUUCCUCCACAUUUUUCCCCACAUCUCUAAAAAAAAUCCUGCAGGAGAGGACGCUGCUUCCCAGCCAUGGGUGCUGUCAUGACCACACCAAGACAAGCACCUGAACCCCGAUGCUCCUGGCCAGGCUCCCGCUCAGCCCGUACUGGCGGCAUGCCAAGCUGCGACUUGGCAAAGGAGAGACACCGAGCCUGCUUGCUGUUUGCUCAAAGUGCCCAGUGGACCACUGGAAGUUCUCCAAACCACACUGGCUUGGAAGAAAAUUCUGGGAGAAGCUGAGAAAAAGGGGCUUUUUUCCUUGGAUCGCCUCAAGAAGCACCAGCGGAUAUUUGACAACAUGGGGAUAGGAAAUGUUGCAGCGUAGGCAGCCAGCUUCUCCUGCUGCUGCCAUGAAAUGAAACAUAAACACAUUGAUCCUAUAAGAAAAGAGUUGAUCCUUGCUUGUGGUAUGCUAGUUAUGAGCAAUUCAGAUAGAUACUGCAUGGAGGUUGGGUCAUAGCUGACAAAACAUGCCGGGAGGCAUCUCCCUCCUUUUUAGAUGCAGAGGAUUACAUCUGAGUUCCUGGCUGUGUUGCCACACUGAGACCAUCCCCCAGUUGAUUUUGGGAAGUGGGACCAUAUGAAAAACCACGGUCAGAAACAUCUGGGAAGCAAGCCGGCCUGUCCAAAGUUUACAUUGUCAGCCCCAUCCAGAUAAAAUGAGAGCUGCCUCAAGUUGUUAACCCCAGGGGCACUUGGAAUCAGAGAUCUGUGUCAGAUCCAAAUAAAAUAAAAAAAAUCCCAAAAUGUAGCCUAAAAUGCAAAUUAAACCAGAAUAGGAACCAUUUGUUUAAAAGAGUAAUCAUAUAAACAAAGGGUGAAAAAAAAAAAAAAAAAAAAAGAAAAAGAAGAAAAAAAGAAGAAAAAAAAAAAGACAGAAAGAGCAAAUAAGAGGUUCCCCACCGUUUUCUGUCCCUGAAGGAUGGAGAUGGUGUUUAUUCUCCACACAGUGAGGCAGACAGGUCUCUGUGCUAGUAAGUCUCAUAAAUGCCACCCUUGGCUCUGCUGUCACAUCUCUUCCUGCUGCAUCCCCAACAAUGCCUUUUCCAGGAGGCUGAGUGAGCAAGAAAGAAGUCCUAAUGUUUGAACCGUGGUUCAGGGCUCAGCGUGGGGAAUGAGAUAGCAGCCAGAGAAGAUUUACACAACCGAAAUCCUCCGCAAGACCUGUGUCAGCAAACAUACACCAGGCUGCUUUGGGUUGCGUGAUGCUGCCUGCAGGUAGGGCUGUAGCAAGUCAAGCUGUGAUGGCAGUGGCUCCACGUGGGCUCGUCACACCAGCAUGGGUAUCCAGAGCAAGCAAGCUGUAACAGCAUGGAGCUUGGUGUGGGCUGAA
Molecule: long non-coding RNA, 1622 nt
Organism: Cairina moschata (Muscovy duck)
Lineage: Eukaryota; Metazoa; Chordata; Aves; Anseriformes; Anatidae
Source: Ensembl